This 400-nucleotide ribosomal RNA is filed under the name uncultured bacterium. Its description in RNAcentral is "partial 16S ribosomal RNA". It matches the Rfam family "Bacterial small subunit ribosomal RNA", at positions 359 to 776 of the family's 1533-position model. The record is from RNAcentral.
GAAUCUUAGACAAUGGGGGCAACCCUGAUCUAGCCAUGCCGCGUGAGUGAUGAAGGCCUUAGGGUUGUAAAGCUCUUUCAGCUGGGAAGAUAAUGACGGUACCAGCAGAAGAAGCCCCGGCUAACUCCGUGCCAGCAGCCGCGGUAAUACGGAGGGGGCUAGCGUUGUUCGGAAUUACUGGGCGUAAAGCGCACGUAGGCGGACCGGAAAGUCAGAGGUGAAAUCCCAGGGCUCAACCUUGGAACUGCCUUUGAAACUAUCGGUCUGGAGUUCGAGAGAGGUGAGUGGAAUUCCGAGUGUAGAGGUGAAAUUCGUAGAUAUUCGGAGGAACACCAGUGGCGAAGGCGGCUCACUGGCUCGAUACUGACGCUGAGGUGCGAAAGCGUGGGGAGCAAACAGG